GACGAACGCUGGCGGCGUGCUUAACACAUGCAAGUCGAACGGAAAGGCCCUGCUUUUGUGGGGUGCUCGAGUGGCGAACGGGUGAGUAACACGUGAGUAACCUGCCCUUGACUUUGGGAUAACUUCAGGAAACUGGGGCUAAUACCGGAUAGGAGCUCCUGCUGCAUGGUGGGGGUUGGAAAGUUUCGGCGGUUGGGGAUGGACUCGCGGCUUAUCAGCUUGUUGGUGGGGUAGUGGCUUACCAAGGCUUUGACGGGUAGCCGGCCUGAGAGGGUGACCGGCCACAUUGGGACUGAGAUACGGCCCAGACUCCUACGGGAGGCAGCAGUGGGGAAUAUUGCACAAUGGGCGGAAGCCUGAUGCAGCAACGCCGCGUGCGGGAUGACGGCCUUCGGGUUGUAAACCGCUUUCGCCUGUGACGAAGCGUGAGUGACGGUAAUGGGUAAAGAGGCACCGGCUAACUACGUGCCAGCAGCCGCGGUGAUACGUAGGGUGCGAGCGUUGUCCGGAUUUAUUGGGCGUAAAGGGCUCGUAGGUGGUUGAUCGCGUCGGAAGUGUAAUCUUGGGGCUUAACCCUGAGCGUGCUUUCGAUACGGGUUGACUUGAGGAAGGUAGGGGAGAAUGGAAUUCCUGGUGGAGCGGUGGAAUGCGCAGAUAUCAGGAGGAACACCAGUGGCGAAGGCGGUUCUCUGGGCCUUUCCUGACGCUGAGGAGCGAAAGCGUGGGGAGCGAACAGGCCUAGAUACCCUGGUAGUCCACGCUGUAAACGGUGGGUACUAGGUGUGGGGUCCAUUCCACGGGUUCCGUGCCGUAGCUAACGCUUUAAGUACCCCGCCUGGGGAGUACGGCCGCAAGGCUAAAACUCAAAGGAAUUGACGGGGCCCCGCACAAGCGGCGGAGCAUGCGGAUUAAUUCGAUGCAACGCGUAGAACCUUACCUGGGUUUGACAUGGAUCGGGAGCGCUCAGAGAUGGGUGUGCCUCUUUUGGGGUCGGUUCACAGGUGGUGCAUGGCUGUCGUCAGCUCGUGUCGUGAGAUGUUGGGUUAAGUCCCGCAACGAGCGCAACCCUUGUUCACUGUUGCCAGCACGUUAUGGUGGGGACUCAGUGGAGACCGCCGGGGUCAACUCGGAGGAAGGUGGGGAUGACGUCAAGUCAUCAUGCCCCUUAUGUCCAGGGCUUCACGCAUGCUACAAUGGCUGGUACAGAGAGUGGCGAGCCUGUGAGGGUGAGCGAAUCUCGGAAAGCCGGUCUCAGUUCGGAUUGGGGUCUGCAACUCGACCUCAUGAAGUCGGAGUCGCUAGUAAUCGCAGAUCAGCAACGCUGCGGUGAAUACGUUCCCGGGGCU
RNAcentral lists this ribosomal RNA (1346 nucleotides) under uncultured bacterium. Its description in RNAcentral is "bacterial SSU rRNA". It matches the Rfam family "Bacterial small subunit ribosomal RNA", at positions 28 to 1381 of the family's 1533-position model. The record is from RNAcentral.